UACGUAGGGUGCAAGCGUUAAUCGGAAUUACUGGGCGUAAAGCGUGCGCAGGCGGUUUUGUAAGUCUGAUGUGAAAUCCCCGGGCUCAACCUGGGAAUUGCAUUGGAGACUGCAAGGCUUGAAUCUGGCAGAGGGGGGUAGAAUUCCACGUGUAGCAGUGAAAUGCGUAGAGAUGUGGAGGAACACCGGUGGCGAAGGCGACCACCUGGACUGAUACUGACACUGAGGUGCGAAAGCGUGGGGAGCAAACAGG
Molecule: ribosomal RNA, 253 nt
Filed under: uncultured bacterium
Lineage: Bacteria
Description: partial 16S ribosomal RNA
Rfam family: Bacterial small subunit ribosomal RNA
Source: RNAcentral